GGGGGGGGGGGGGGGGGGGGGGGGGGGGGGGGGGGCGGGGGGGGGGGGGGGGGGCGGGCGCCGGGGGGGGGAGCGGCGGGGGGGUGAGGAACACGGGGAUAACCGACCUAUAAGACUGGGGUAACUGCGGGAAACCGGAGCUAAUACCGGAGAAUAUAUUGAACCGCAUGGUUCAAUAGGGAAAGACGGUUUUGCGGUCACGUAUAGAUGGAUCCGCGCCGCAUUAGCUAGUUGGUAAGGUAACGGCUUACCAAGGCAACGAUGCGUAGCCGACCUGAGAGGGUGAUCGGCCACACUGGAACUGAGACACGGUCCAGACUCCUACGGGAGGCAGCAGUAGGGAAUCUUCCGCAAUGGGCGAAAGCCUGACGGAGCAACGCCGCGUGAGUGAUGAAGGUCUUCGGAUCGUAAAACUCUGUUAUUAGGGAAGAACAAAUGUGUAAGUAACUAUGCACGUCUUGACGGUACCUAAUCAGAAAGCCACGGCUAACUACGUG
Molecule: ribosomal RNA, 497 nt
Filed under: uncultured bacterium
Lineage: Bacteria
Description: partial 16S ribosomal RNA
Rfam family: Bacterial small subunit ribosomal RNA (bases 51-497)
Source: RNAcentral